Sitodiplosis mosellana (orange wheat blossom midge) is the source of this 2533-nucleotide long non-coding RNA. RefSeq lists it as uncharacterized. The record is from RefSeq and is a predicted model, not a curated record. The transcript is spliced from 2 exons. Lineage: Eukaryota; Metazoa; Arthropoda; Insecta; Diptera; Cecidomyiidae.
GAACUAGCAAAAGCCAUUAGCAAUUAUAUAACAUUUGCGAAAAAGGCAAUUUGCAUUGGAUGAAUGAAAGGGUGAUGAUGAAUUGAGGCACGUUUUUCUCGCAGUCGUUUCUCUGAGCUUCUAUUCGAAGUGCAGAAUGGUUCGACGAGUCAGCAGUUUUUUUUCUACCGUCGCUGCAACCGCGUUUUCACAAUAAAUUGCGAAAUAAUAAAACAAUGGAAAAAUGCACGAAAAAGGGCCAGUCGAAUAUCCAAUGGAAAAAUACCAAGAGUUUGAUUUUGUUUUAUGAAUUGUAUGAUGGUUCACAACCGAAUUGCAACGCCCAUGAAUUCAGAUGCAAAAAAGAGACAAAUAAAACGUCAACAGUACGUUUACGGUCACACGAAUCAGAAACAGCAAAUAGUUCUCGUAUGACGAGAGUGCUACACUGAUAAUCCGUGAAUUAAAAAUAAACCGAAAUCACUCCAUUUCGUUUGUACGCACCAAAUGAAUGACGAUAAUACAGAAAUGAAAACAAUUGAUUGGUUUCUUUUCAAAAGCACUGUUUAUAGAUUUAACGAAAGAUAGAGUAUCAAUCAUCCAAAGAGAGUUAUCAUUGCGUAAAACAUGCGCCGACGACAUUGCAAAAAGAUCUUGAGAAAAAUUUCCAAACUGGCGAUUAUCAUGUGUGCAAAUACGAUAUACCAAAUAUUGUUUCAUCGUAAAUUUUAUUUAGCACAAACACACACCAUCACACCCAUGAUCGCGUUGUGUAGCGACAAAAACAUGAUGGUUUCUCGCAAUUCAGAGCGUUCAUUUGCUUGUAUAAGUUCAAAGUCUACGUUCAUUUGAAAUGGCAAAUAUUUUGUGUUUCGAUUCUUUUCGUCGGUUGGCUGAUCAUCACAUCGACUCACGACGUCUGAAAAUAUACAUAUAUAUUCAAGUCGAUGAAUUGCAGUAUCGAUCGGAACGUUCACAUUUGUGUUCGUGUGUCACCUCUUGGCAAUCGUUCGACGUGACGAGAUCGACCAAUGAGAAAGCGCUAAAAACGGGGGCUUGUUCAUGGUAUUGGUCGGUAAUUUCAAUUAAUUGAAUGCAAUUAAAUUGUGUUGAUUUUUUUCUCGUCGUUUUCUUGCUUGACGACUAACGUCCGAUAGAAAGAUAGAAUCUGAAAAAGAAAAACGCCAGCGGAUAUCUGAUGAUCGACGGUGUUCGUGCCUUAAACAAUUGGACACAGCAUGCAUCAACUAUAGUUAAAAAUAAAUAUUUUCUAGGCUUGCAACUGGUUUUUCGUAAACUAGAAUCGACAAAAAGCAGAAAUUUGCAUCUUGUCUACCAAUCUUGUUGUAAUAAAAAUUUAAACCCCGCGCACAUUUCCGAUGAUUUAUCGACACCGAAUUCGAGAUAUCAUUUGUCGCAAACUCUAUCGUCGUCUGCAAACGAUAUGGAGACUUACCCUCGCACCUUCUCUCUCUCUCUCUCUCUCUCUCUCUCUCGGUUGAAUGGAUAUUCUUUUAUUUCUUUUGCUAACGAUGCUUUUCUACUGACUUAAUGGUCAUAAUCGCCUGAGAUUGAUGAUCUUAUCCUAUGCAUUUUUAUUUAACUACCUUUCAACUGAAAAUCGACCAAUUGUUUGAUUUGAUGAUGAAAGCAAGGCGUCUGAUUAUUUCAUCGCUCUUUUUUCAAGCAACGAUAAGAUUAUUCAAUUGGGUUUUUUUUAAGUAAAUUCCCUUGUUCCCUCUCCAUUUCCUAUUUCGACCGUCAUUUUUUUCCUGUACACGGUAUUUUUCCACUGCGAUAUCCAUGUGAUCAUACGUUGCCAUUGAAAACGGGAACAUCUGUUCGCUGAUUAAUUCACGAAACACGCGUCUCAAUUCCAAAUUAUGGCUGCUGGAUUCAAGCUUCCUGAUUUCAAAGCAAAAAUAAACUGUCGAAGUCACACAAGCGUCCGAUUGGGCUUUAAUCCGGUCACAAACUAAACAAGCGCUCACCCGUUCCACACGAAUCGUUCAACUCAAACUUUUUUGUAUGAUACGCUUCAUAAAUGUCAACAAUUCGAACUUUCUCGAAGCGUAGUCUUACGUGAUGAUGUUCUAAAACACCGAGAUUCUCUUUUCUUAUAAAUACAAACAAACAAGACAAUAUGCAUAUGUUCCACAAGUAUAACUGUAGUAACACAGCGAUCAAUCGAGCGGCAGAUGAGAAAAAUUGAUUUCAAUUUGCUUCAAAAUUAUAUAACGAUUGGGAAGAAUAGAACAAAUCGUUCAAUUUGAUAGAGAACAGAACAAUAAAAGAAACUAAACGGCAUGGCCGGCUGAUUAAAAAUCUCGGUGUUCUUGUAAUAAUAUUUGGUUUGGAAGAUAUGUCCAGAAUUUUAACGGUUAUUAAACUCUUUUAAGCUUCAUUAGAAUUUCGACUUCAUUGUUUGCAUGUAUAUAGGUUUGUUGACCCAUAUUUACACAGCAGCACAGUAAACAUUGAAAAGGAUUUGCAAAUUUUUAUUGGAAGUUUGUGUUUUCAAAAUAAAAACAUUGGGUAAACCAAAAACAAAAAA